This 262-nucleotide ribosomal RNA is filed under the name uncultured bacterium. RNAcentral's name for it is "partial 16S ribosomal RNA". It matches the Rfam family "Bacterial small subunit ribosomal RNA", at positions 793 to 1055 of the family's 1533-position model. The record is from RNAcentral.
GUCCACGCCGUAAACGUUGGGCGCUAGGUGUGGGGAACAUUCCACGUUCUCCGUGCCGCAGCUAACGCAUUAAGCGCCCCGCCUGGGGAGUACGGCCGCAAGGCUAAAACUCAAAGGAAUUGACGGGGGCCCGCACAAGCGGCGGAGCAUGCGGCUUAAUUCGACGCAACGCGAAGAACCUUACCAAGGCUUGACAUAUAGGGAAAUCUCAUAGAGAUAUGAGGUCCGCAAGGGCCCUAUACAGGUGGUGCAUGGUUGUCGU